RNAcentral lists this ribosomal RNA (465 nucleotides) under uncultured bacterium. Its description in RNAcentral is "partial 16S ribosomal RNA". It matches the Rfam family "Bacterial small subunit ribosomal RNA", at positions 28 to 507 of the family's 1533-position model. The record is from RNAcentral.
GACGAACGCUGGCGGCGUGCUUAACACAUGCAAGUCGAACGGAAAGGCCCUGCUUGCCGGGUACUCGAGUGGCGAACGGGUGAGUAACACGUGGGUGAUCUGCCCUGCACUUCGGGAUAAGCCUGGGAAACUGGGUCUAAUACCGGAUAGGAGCCAUUUUUAGUGUGAUGGUUGGAAAGUUUUUUCGGUGUAGGAUGAGCUCGCGGCCUAUCAGCUUGUUGGUGGGGUAAUGGCCUACCAAGGCGGCGACGGGUAGCCGGCCUGAGAGGGUGGACGGCCACAUUGGGACAGAGAUACGGCCCAGACUCCUACGGGAGGCAGCAGUGGGGAAUAUUGCACAAUGGGCGCAAGCCUGAUGCAGCGACGCCGCGUGGGGGAUGACGGCCUUCGGGUUGUAAACUCCUUUCGCUAGGGACGAAGCUUUUUGUGACGGUACCUAGAGAAGAAGCACCGGCUAACUACGUG